Molecule: unclassified non-coding RNA, 327 nt
Filed under: uncultured Sordariomycetes
Lineage: Eukaryota; Fungi; Ascomycota; Sordariomycetes
Description: sequence contains ITS1
Rfam family: 5.8S ribosomal RNA (bases 1-105)
Source: RNAcentral
GAAAUGCGAUAAGUAAUGUGAAUUGCAGAAUUCAGUGAAUCAUCGAAUCUUUGAACGCACAUUGCGCCCAGCAGUAAUCUGCUGGGCAUGCCUGUCCGAGCGUCAUUUCAGCCCUCGAGCCGCUAUUUUGUGGUUCGGUGUUGGGGCGCUACAGGGGGGUCUCGACCCCCCGGUAGGCUCCGAAAUGUAGUGGCGGUCCCGCCGCGGCGCCCCCUGCGUAGUAGUAGUCUUUUUGCUCGCAUCGGGUCCCGGCGGAGGCUAGCCGUCGAACCUCUCAGAGAAAAAAGGUUUGACCUCGGAUCAGGUAGGGUUACCCGCUGAACUUAA